AUGAACGCUGGCGGCGUGCCUAAUACAUGCAAGUCGAGCGAACAGAUGAGGAGCUUGCUCCUCUGACGUUAGCGGCCGACGGGGGAGUAACACGGGGAUAACCUACCUAUAAGACUGGGAUAACUGCGGGAAACCGGAGCUAAUACCGGAUAAUAUAUUGAACCGCGUGGGUCAAUAGUGAAAGACGGUUUUGCUGUCACUUAUAGAUGAAUCCGCGCCGCAUUAGCUAGUUGGUAAGGUAACGGCUUACCAGGGCAACGAUGCGUAGCCGACUCGAGAGGGUGAUCCGCCCCCCCGGAACUUAGACACCGUCCCGACUCCCAAGGGGGGCCGCCGUAGGGAAUCUUCCGCAAUGGGCGAAAGCCUGACGGAGCCACGCCGCGUGAGUGAUGAAGGUCUUCGGAUCGUAAAACUCUGUUAUUCGGGAAGAACAAAUGUGUACGUAACUAUGCACGUCUUGACGGUACCUAAUCAGAAAGCCCCGGCUAACUACGUG
RNAcentral lists this ribosomal RNA (496 nucleotides) under uncultured bacterium. RNAcentral's name for it is "partial 16S ribosomal RNA". It matches the Rfam family "Bacterial small subunit ribosomal RNA", at positions 29 to 507 of the family's 1533-position model. The record is from RNAcentral.